UUUUCUUUUUUUUUUUUUUUUUUUUUUUUUUGAGAUGGAGUCUUGCUCUGUCGCCCAGGCUGGAGUGCAGUGGCGUGAUCUCAGCUCACUGGAAUCUCCACCUCCUGGGUUCACACCAUUCUCCUGCUUCAGCCUCCGAACAGCUGGGACUACAGGCACCCGCCACCAUGUCGGCUAAUUUUUUGUAUUUUUAGUAGAGAUGGGGUUUCACCAUGUUAGCCAGAAUGGACUCGAUCUCCUGACCUCGUGAUCCACUCGCCUCAGCCUCCCACAGUGCUGGGAUUACAGGCGUGAGCCACCGCGCCUGGCCUGACUAAAAUACAUUUUCAAGACUAAAAGCUAAGAACAAAGAUUUAGAGAUUUGAUACAGCAUUUGUAGAGAGGGCUUUUAGAGUGAUCUCAACCUGAUGUAACUGGCUGUGAAAUGUAAUUCUUCCAGGAUGAAAGGUGAAGAUCAGUAUGCAUACAUGUAUUUAUCUACAGUAUAUACACAUAAUACAUAGUAAAGAAUUAAGCUUCAGUAACCUGUAAAAUUUGCCUAAGUAGAAUACUGAUUUUGCAGAGAUAUGGGCUAAGUAAGAUACUAUCCUACACAUAAACACACGCAGAUGAUAGAAUGAAGUUAAAAACUGUUUCCAUUCUUCUUCUACACCUUAUAUAUUCAUGUCUAUAACAGCCCAUAACACACUGUUUACAUGUCUGACUUGCCCAACAGACUGUGAAGUCCUUAAGUCUAGCAGGGUGCUACAUUCAUUUAUUAUUCAGUAAAUAAAUGUUGAGCCAAACUGAAGUUACAGGAGAGAAGCAGAAAUCAUCAUGGAUUCACACAAGAGUGGGAGGGAUUUUUUUUUUUUUUUUUUUGAGAUGGAGUUUCACUCUUGUCGCCCAGGCUGGAGUACAAUGGCGUGAUCUCAGCUCACUGCAACCUCCACCUCCUGGGUUCAAGCAGUUCUCAUGACUCAGCCUCCCAAGUACCUGGGAUUAAAGGCACGUGCCACCACACCUGGCUAAUUUUUGUAUUUUUAGUAGAGACGGGGUUUCACCAUAUUGGCCAGGCUGGUCUUGAGCUCCUCCCCUCAGGUGAUCCACCCACCUCAACCUCCCGAAGUGCUGGGAUUACAGGUGGGUGGAUCACAAGGUCAGGAGUUCAAGACCAGCCUGGCCAACAUAGUGAAACCUCUUCUCUACUAAAAAUACAAAAAUUAGCCAGGUGUGGUGGCACGUGCCUGUAGUCCCAGCUAUGAUACUCAGGAGGCUGAAGCAGGAGAAUACCUUGAACCUGGCAAGCAGAGGUUGCAGUGAGCCGAGACCACGCCAUUGCACUCCAGCCUGGGUGACAGAGUGAGACUCCAUCUCAAAAAAAAAGAAUAUCACGCCUGUAAUCCCAGCACUUUGGGAGGCCGAGGCGGGUGGAUCACGAGGUCAGGAGAUCGAGACCAUCCCGGCUAAAACGGUGAAACCCCGUCUCUACUAAAAAUACAAAAAAUUAGCCGGGCGUAGUGGCGGGCGCCUGUAGUCCCAGCUACUUGGGAGGCUGAGGCAGGAGAAUGGCGUGAACCCGGGAGGCGGAACUUGCAGUGAGCCGAGAUCCCGCCACUGCACUCCAGCCUCUAUCUCCCAGAAUCAAGGGAUUCUCCCGCCUCAGCUUCCUGAGUAGCCUGCAUGCCACCAUGCCCAGCUAUUUUUUUUAUUUUUAUUUUUAGUAGAGACAGAGUCUCACUAUGUUGCUCAGACUGGUCUCGAACUGCUGGGCUCAAGCAAUCCUUCUGCCUCAGCCUCCCAAAGUGCUUGGAUUACAGGGUGAGUUACCCUGCCCAGCUGACUUCUCUACAUUUGUGAAGUCACUAAAAUGACCUCAGCCUUGGUUUUCUCUAUAUAAUAGCAGAACUAGGAUCAAUCCAACCACUUACCUUCUACAUUCCUACAUGCAGGCUGCUGAGUACUGCUCCAGAAAAGAACACAACUGUGCCGACUGUCACCAAUCCAAUUCAUGUUUCUAAACUCAGCAGUUUUGUAAUCCUUUCACCCCUCCCAUUCCCCACAGCAGCUGGUUCUCAUGCCAUCUAUCCUGCCAUCAAAAUCUCCUUCCUUCAUAAUAGCCAAAAACUAGAAAUAUGUGUCCAUUAAUUGAUGAAUGGAUAAACAAAAUGUAGUAUAUCCAUACAACAGAGUAUUAC
This 2177-nucleotide long non-coding RNA is filed under the name Homo sapiens (human). RNAcentral's name for it is "HSALNT0178154". The record is from RNAcentral. Lineage: Eukaryota; Metazoa; Chordata; Mammalia; Primates; Hominidae.